ACUGUUUACCAAAAACAUAGCCCUCGAAAAAAUCGAAGGUGUAACCUGCCCAAUGACUACUAAUCAAAAAACAAAAAAAAUUUUUAAUGUAGUUUAAAGGACGCAGUAACCUGACUGUGAUAAUGUAGCAUAAUCAAUUGCCAUUUAAUUGAUGGAUAGUAUGAAUGGUUGAACGAAUAUUACACUGUCUCUAGUAGAAAAUUUAUGAAACUAAAAUAAUAGUGAAGAUGCUAUUUAAAACUGUAAGACGAAAAGACCCUAUAGAGCUUAACUAUAAACUUUUUCAAAAUAAUUAUUAAACAAAAUAAUAAACAAAAAGAUUGGUAGUUUAGUUGGGGCGACUGUUUUCUAUAAAUAACGAAAACUAGCAAAGUUAAUAAAAAAAAUAACUUAUUGUUUAAAAAACAAAUUUAACAAUUACAAAUGUAGGCUAUAGUGACCCAUUAAUUUUAAGAAAAAAAUUUAAUGAUUAAAGAAUAAAAGCUACCUUAGGGAUAACAGGAUAAUUUUGUCUUAGAGACCAUAUCGAAGACAAAGUUUGUCACCUCUAUGUUGAAUUGAGAUAUCCAGAUAAUGUAGAAGUUAUCAAAGGUAGGUCUGUUCGACCUUUAAAAUCUCACAUGAUUUGAG
This 630-nucleotide ribosomal RNA is filed under the name Oceania armata. Its description in RNAcentral is "partial 16S ribosomal RNA". It matches the Rfam family "Bacterial large subunit ribosomal RNA", at positions 1799 to 2609 of the family's 2925-position model. Lineage: Eukaryota; Metazoa; Cnidaria; Hydrozoa; Anthoathecata; Oceaniidae. The record is from RNAcentral.